Homo sapiens (human) is the source of this 1898-nucleotide long non-coding RNA. RefSeq annotates it as C5 3' UTR overlapping transcript 1. The record is from RefSeq and is marked validated. The transcript has 2 exons. NCBI's taxonomy places the organism in Eukaryota, Metazoa, Chordata, Mammalia, Primates, Hominidae.
UACUGGCCUAGAGACACAACAUGUUCAUCGUGUCAAGCAUUUUUAGCUAAUUUAGAUGAAUUUGCCGAAGAUAUCUUUUUAAAUGGAUGCUAAAAUUCCUGAAGUUCAGCUGCAUACAGUUUGCACUUAUGGACUCCUGUUGUUGAAGUUCGUUUUUUUGUUUUCUUCUUUUUUUAAACAUUCAUAGCUGGUCUUAUUUGUAAAGCUCACUUUACUUAGAAUUAGUGGCACUUGCUUUUAUUAGAGAAUGAUUUCAAAUGCUGUAACUUUCUGAAAUAACAUGGCCUUGGAGGGCAUGAAGACAGAUACUCCUCCAAGGUUAUUGGACACCGGAAACAAUAAAUUGGAACACCUCCUCAAACCUACCACUCAGGAAUGUUUGCUGGGGCCGAAAGAACAGUCCAUUGAAAGGGAGUAUUACAAAAACAUGGCCUUUGCUUGAAAGAAAAUACCAAGGAACAGGAAACUGAUCAUUAAAGCCUGAGUUUGCUUUCAAACUGUGCUAAAAAGCCUGUUAUUUUAUGCUAGAUCAGCUUCAACCACACAAAGACAGGCAAAUUGAGAGAGAUGGAGAAAGUCAGCAGUAGAGAACCUUAACCUUGAGCGGGCUUAGCCUCAGAGCCCUCAGCGCACUGAGAAGGUUGAGCAUCCCAAAUCUGAAAAUCCAAAAUCUGAAAUGCUUCAAAAUUUGAAACUUUUUGAGUACCAACAUGACACCACAAAUGAAAAAUUCCACACAUAAGUACUUAACACAAACUUUGUUUCAUGUAAAACAUUGUUUAAAACAUUGUAUAAAAUUACCUUUAGGGGAUGUAUAUAAGGUAUACAUGAAACAUAAAUGAAUUUUGUAUUUAGACAUGGUCCCAUCCCCAAGAUAUCUUAUUGUAUGUAUAUGCAAAUAUUCCAAAAUCUGAAAAAAAUCUGAAAUCUGAAACACUUCUGGUUCCAAGCAUUUUGGAUAAGGAUUACUCAACUGGUACCUUAGUCUGAUUAAUUUAUUCUCAGCUUCUAUGUAUUAGUUCUUAGGGAUUCUUUUUUUUAACUUCACCUUUUUUGUAAUGUUCCUAGCAAAUGUUAUUCAUGUUAUUUCACUUUUUAAAAAUUAUGCCAUUGCUCUAGUGGCGGAGCAGGAAGCAAAGGAAUACAGGGCCAGCAUGCUGCUGAAUGGGCCUGGCAGCAGCAGAACUACGUGAAGAGGCCUCUGUGUUCCUGGAGGUUUAUGGACAGAGGUCCUUGUGUAACUUAAUGUUCCAGAUCCCGUGUCCUAAGCAGAGUAGCUGCAACCCAGAAACAGCCUCUGCAAAGGAGCCUUCAGUACCAGAUCCAAGCCUCACUUUGUGUCCUCACUCCCACUUGCUCAUUGGCCCCUGACCCAGCCUUCAGGAUUUCAACAGCAAGCCGAAGAGCAGGUGCUCCUGUCAGCUUUUCUGCUCACUCUGGCUCCUGUGGCCAGACCCAAGUUCAUACAGCAGAUCUUUCCUGCCCUGCGUGGGCCUUUGAGACGCUGUGGAGGGUGGGCCUGCUUGGUUGAUUACUACUGCUGCUGCUUCUAGUUCCAUUGACCCACCAGGGACAGCAGCUCUGAUUCGGCCUAUGCCUGCCCUCCGCCACCUCCCUCCUUCCUUUCUCCCUUCCCCUCCCCCCUCUCCCACAUACCAGAAAUCACUGUCUUGGCACUUGGGAUUUGAAAAUUUGCCCAACAAAUGAAAACUGAUCUUAUCUGUCUGCAAAGCAAUUCGACAAUGCAUUUCAGGAGCCAAAAUAUGUUUAUAUUUCUUGAUCCAGUAAUCCUUCUCCUGUUGAAUGAUUUAUAUAAAUUCCCAAAAGGAAAAAAAAAUAGUUGGUACACAAAGAUCUUCUGUGGAAGAUUAUUCAUUUAAUAAAUAUUUAUUGAGUGC